Molecule: ribosomal RNA, 385 nt
Filed under: uncultured bacterium
Lineage: Bacteria
Description: bacterial SSU rRNA
Rfam family: Bacterial small subunit ribosomal RNA
Source: RNAcentral
AUUGAACGCUGGCGGCGUGCUUAACACAUGCAAGUCGAGCGGUAACAGGCGUAGCAAUACGUGCUGACGAGCGGCGAACGGGUGCGUAAUACAUCGGAAUCUGCCUCGUAGUGGGGAAUAACCCGGCGAAAGCCGGGCUAAUGCCGCAUACGAUCCACGGAUGAAAGCGGGGGACCGUAAGGCCUCGCGCUAUGAGAUGAGCCGAUGUCGGAUUAGCAGUUGGUGAGGUAAUGGCUCACCAAGGCGACGAUCCGUAGCUGGUCUGAGAGGACGGCCAGCCACACUGGGACUGAGACACGGCCCAGACUCCUACGGAGGCAGCAGUGGGGAAUAUUGGACAAGUGGGGAAACCCUGAUCAGCGACGCCGCGUGUGUGAAGAAGGCC